Lepidothrix coronata (blue-crowned manakin) is the source of this 1885-nucleotide long non-coding RNA. RefSeq lists it as uncharacterized. The transcript has 2 exons. The record is from RefSeq and is a predicted model, not a curated record. Lineage: Eukaryota; Metazoa; Chordata; Aves; Passeriformes; Pipridae.
GCGGGGCGGUGCGGCCGGGCCCAGGGUGGCCGCGGGGCGUCCUUUCGGGCCGCGUCAGGAGCCCCGGCCCGAGCGCUCUCCUGACCCCACGGCAGCACCGGCGCAGCCCCUGGGCGGAGGCACAGGAGCGGAGGCGCGGCAGGGGCUCCGCGAAGCGACUUCUCCCUCGCGGGGAGCCGGGUCUGGCCAGCGGGGCCUUCCUGGAGCUGUGGCAGCCGCGGGUAACGGCGGAGCCGCCGCCCGGAACUCCAGGCCGGCGUUAAGUGCCAACAAGCGGCGUGUGGCGCCGCGCUGAACGCUGUAAUUUAAAGGAUGUAAUUUCUGUCUAGUGCACACUCGGACAUUCGCCACGGCUUGAGCUUGAGGAAACGACCGUAUGCCCAUCGCAAACCGAACCGUACCUGCAGCUAUCCACAGUUAAGAGUAAAUACCAACCCAGGAGUGAGAGCCUGUUUUCCAGUCCUGAGUGAGAUCUAAAAGCUGCCACAUUCAAAUUUUGUUCUGUUUGACCGAAAGGUCUGUGUUACCUACCAGUCCUGCUUCUUGGGGACACCAAACUUCCUGGAGCCUGUUAAACAGUAAAAUUCAGCGGUAACUCAAAACCCAUUAAGUGGAAACAAGUUUCCAGAUGGUGUCAGUGGUUAAACCAAUGCAAGGGAUUCAGUUUCUGUCAGCCUAGAGAAAAUAUCCGCAAAAGUAUGAUAGUUCCUUACCACUGCCAGAGUUUACACAUCAGGCAUAUUACAGAUUCCACAAAAAAACCCCAGGCUGCCACUCCAAGUCAGUCUUCCUCUAUCAUAAGAUACCAACGAAUUGUAUCACACUGUCAACAUCUAGGAGGUUGCAUAAGACAAUGACUGACUCCUUUUCACCCGGUUCCAAAUAAGAUGUAUGAUAUGCAGCUUUUGCUGAAUAUUUAAAUUCCUAGGCAAAACUUUGCAUUUAAAGGUGAAUUACUUAAAAGUUGAAACAGCUAACACAGUCUUGCUCCAAUAUAUUCCUUAAUGGCAAAAAGCUUUAGACAUCUAUAGCAAUCUAAGGAGUAAGGGAACUAUGACCAAAAGGUACCACAGAACCCUUUUACUAAGCCAACACAAAAUGUUGCAGAGUAACUGUGAAACGAUGAGUCGAACAAAAUUACAAAAUGAAUUUAUUCCAAAGCUGUAAGGGAACAUGAACAUGUACAAUUCAACAAGAUGGUAAAAAGGUGUUUCCACAAGAACUCACUGCAUUAAAAUUAGAUGUGAAACUGGGGAAAAAUAACUACUGAGGCCACAAGAACUUUGCACAUCACUUCUGAAAUACAGGACUCAUGUAAAGAAAACUCACUCAAAAUUCAGUGAGAAAAUAAGCUGCUAGCACCUAGCUACUAGUCUAAAUACAAGCUAUGUUUAGGCUUUGAGAUUACAUUUUUAAAUCCCCUCAAAACACCGAUUAUAGUCACAAGUGCAAAAUGUCUUUUUUUUUCCUCCUUUUUUCCUCCAAUGGAAGCUUAUUACACAUCUAGUGCCUAUUUUCAGAGUGACAUUUUGGUCUCACAAAUUUGUCCUUGAAAGCUUUUUGCCAAGUUUUAUGGGUUUUGUGACAAAUCAAAUUUGAGCAGCUGGCAGGUAAUCAUUAAUACAGUCAGCUCACAUGUCCUGGAAUGUCCAAAAUUUGCUGCCUAGUGUUCCAGAGUUAAGCAAAACCAGACUUCUAAUUUAGCAUCAACAAUGUCUCUCACUUUGACAAUUUGGUAUUUUGGCCAUCUGACUGUAGUGAUAAAUAUCAGUGUUAAUGAAAACACCUGAGUCAGAUUCACAAGCAAAUACAAAUAGAACCAGAGUGGGGAGACAUCACCUUCUGUAGAUAUCAAGUGGCUGAACAAAAAAAAAAAAAAAGGCAG